GGGAUGGACUCGCGUCCGAUUAGGUAGUUGGUGAGGUAACGGCCCACCAAGCCGACGAUCGGUAGCCGGACUGAGAGGUUGAUCGGCCACAUUGGGACCGAGACACGGCCCAGACUCCUACGGGAGGCAGCAGUGGGGGAUAUUGCACAAUGGAGGAAACUCUGAUGCAGCGACGCCGCGUGAGGGAAGAAGGUCUUCGGAUUGUAAACCUCUGUCUUUGGGGACGAAAGAAAUGACGGUACCCAAGGAGGAAGCCACGGCUAACUACGUGCCAGCAGCCGCGGUAAUACGUAGGUGGCGAGCGUUGUCCGGAAUUACUGGGUGUAAAGGGUGCGCAGGCGGGAUGUCAAGUUGGAUGUGAAAUCUCUAGGCUUAACCUAGAGUGUGCAUUCAAAACUGGCGUUCUUGAGUGAAGCAGAGGUAGGCGGAAUUCCCGGUGUAGCGGUGAAAUGCGUAGAGAUCGGGAGGAACACCUGUGGCGAAGGCGGCCUACUGGGCUUUAACUGACGCUGAGGCACGAAAGCAUGGGCAGCAAACAGGAUUAGAUACCCUGGUAGUCCAUGCUGUAAACGAUGAUUGCUAGGUGUGGGUGGACUGACCCCAUCCGUGCCGGAGUUAACACAAUAAGCAAUCCACCUGGGGAGUACGGCCGCAAGGUGAA
RNAcentral lists this ribosomal RNA (661 nucleotides) under uncultured bacterium. RNAcentral describes it as "bacterial SSU rRNA". It matches the Rfam family "Bacterial small subunit ribosomal RNA", at positions 222 to 897 of the family's 1533-position model. The record is from RNAcentral.